Molecule: ribosomal RNA, 489 nt
Filed under: uncultured bacterium
Lineage: Bacteria
Description: bacterial SSU rRNA
Rfam family: Bacterial small subunit ribosomal RNA
Source: RNAcentral
AUUGAACGCUGGCGGCAAGCCUUACACAUGCAAGUCGAGCGGUAACAUUUCUAGCUUGCUAGAAGAUGACGAGCGGCGGACGGGUGAGUAAAGCAUAGGAAUCUGGCCAAUAGAGGGGGAUAGCCCGGAGAAAUCCGGAUUAAUACCGCAUACCCUCUACGGAGAAAAAGCAGGGGAUCUUCGGACCUUGCGCUAUUGGAUGAGCCUAUGUCGGAUUAGUUAGUUGGUGGGGUAAAGGCCUACCAAGGCAGCGAUCCGUAGCUGGUCUUAGAGGAUGAUCAGCCACAUCGGGACUGAGACACGGCCCGAACUCCUACGGGAGGCAGCAGUGGGGAAUAUUGCACAAUGGGCGCAAGCCUGAUGCAGCUAUGCCGCGUGUGUGAAGAAGGCCUUAGGGUUGUAAAGCACUUUCAGUAGUGAGGAAAAGGGUUGCGUUAAUAGCGCAAUGCUGUGGCGUUAGCUACAGAAGAAGGACCGGCAAACUCCGUG